Molecule: non-coding RNA, 557 nt
Organism: Peromyscus maniculatus bairdii (prairie deer mouse)
Lineage: Eukaryota; Metazoa; Chordata; Mammalia; Rodentia; Cricetidae
Source: RefSeq, a predicted model, not a curated record
AGGACGCUGAAGACCCGAGAUCCAGAUGGGCUGGCUCUCUUGGUUCCUAGACCCUUGACGCUUGAGGUCUUUGGAUGCCACCAUAAGAGUUGCGAGUUCCUAUGUGUUGCUGCCUUGCUGUGUCUGGAAAGCACUGUCUCCUUGUGGUCUUCCUCCACUCUGACUCACGCAGUCUUUCUGCCCUCUCUUCCAUGAUGACCCCUGGACUUUGUAUGGAGGAAAGAACAAAAUAUUGCCCCUCCAGAUAACAUGGAAGAGAAAGCUGGCUGACCCCAUAGGCUGUUGGAAUGGGCUCCCAAGUGGAAUUGUGAAAUCCUGUUCUCUGGCUAGCUCAUCUGUCUGGCAUGUGAGGAUAACGACGGGAUAAGGGUGCAGGGGAAUGAAGAUGACCUCUCCAACUCCAUCCAGUCCUGAAACUGUCUCAUUUCUGCAGUGGAUUGCUCACUGUUGGGUAACAGAGAAACAAAAACAUUUCUUAUCAAGGAGACAUUUUACAAAUAAGAAUUGUAAUUCCUGGAAAUUUUAUUAGAAUUGAUGAAUAAAAGAUCUGUAAUGCA